GCUGGGCAUGGUGGCGCAUGCCUGUAAUCCCAGCUACUCGGGAGGCUGAGGCAGGAGAAUCGCUUGAAUCCGGGAGGUGGAGUGAGCCGAGAUCGCCCACUGCACUCCAGCUUGGAUGACAAAGUGAGAUUCUGUCUCAA
Molecule: non-coding RNA, 140 nt
Organism: Gorilla gorilla gorilla (western lowland gorilla)
Lineage: Eukaryota; Metazoa; Chordata; Mammalia; Primates; Hominidae
Rfam family: Metazoan signal recognition particle RNA
About the family: The signal recognition particle (SRP) is a universally conserved ribonucleoprotein. It is involved in the co-translational targeting of proteins to membranes.
Source: Rfam